CCUACGGGCGGCAGCAGUGGGGAAUAUUGGACAAUGGGGGGAACCCUGAUCCAGCCAUGCCGCGUGUGUGAAGAAGGCCCUCGGGUUGUAAAGCACUUUCAGUGAGGAAGAACGCCUGGUGGUUAAUACCCAUCAGGAAAGACAUCACUCACAGAAGAAGCACCGGCUAACUCCGUGCCAGCAGCCGCGGUAAUACGGAGGGUGCGAGCGUUAAUCGGAAUUACUGGGCGUAAAGCGCGCGUAGGUGGCUUGAUAAGCCGGUUGUGAAAGCCCCGGGCUCAACCUGGGAACGGCAUCCGGAACUGGCAAGCUAGAGUGCAGGAGAGGAGGGUAGAAUUCCCGGUGUAGCGGUGAAAUGCGUAGAGAUCGGGAGGAAUACCGGUGGCGAAGGCGGCCUUCUGGACUGACACUGACACUGAGGUGCGAAAGCGUGGGUAGCAAACAGGAUUAGAUACCCGAGUAGUC
Molecule: ribosomal RNA, 465 nt
Filed under: Vreelandella stevensii
Lineage: Bacteria; Pseudomonadati; Pseudomonadota; Gammaproteobacteria; Oceanospirillales; Halomonadaceae
Description: partial 16S ribosomal RNA
Rfam family: Bacterial small subunit ribosomal RNA
Source: RNAcentral